Molecule: transfer RNA, 73 nt
Filed under: Thermoactinomyces sp. DSM 45892
Lineage: Bacteria; Bacillati; Bacillota; Bacilli; Caryophanales; Thermoactinomycetaceae
Description: tRNA_His_GTG
Rfam family: tRNA
About the family: Transfer RNA (tRNA) molecules are approximately 80 nucleotides in length. Their secondary structure includes four short double-helical elements and three loops (D, anti-codon, and T loops). Further hydrogen bonds mediate the characteristic L-shaped molecular structure. tRNAs have two regions of fundamental functional importance: the anti-codon, which is responsible for specific mRNA codon recognition, and the 3' end, to which the tRNAs corresponding amino acid is attached (by aminoacyl-tRNA synthetases). tRNAs cope with the degeneracy of the genetic code in two manners: having more than one tRNA (with a specific anti-codon) for a particular amino acid; and 'wobble' base-pairing, i.e. permitting non-standard base-pairing at the 3rd anti-codon position.
Source: RNAcentral
GCGGUCGUGGCGAAGUGGCUAACGCACCGGAUUGUGGCUCCGGCAUUCGAGGGUUCAAUUCCCUCCGAUCGCC